GAUGGAGAACGCAGCGAAAUGCGAUACGUAAUGUGAAUUGCAGAAUUCAGUGAAUCAUCGAAUCUUUGAACGCAUAUUGCGCUCUCUGGUAUUCCGGAGAGCAUGCUUGUUUGAGUAUCAGUAAACACCUCAACUUCCAUAUCUUUUUUGAAAUGGGAGUUGGACUUGAGUGAUCCCAACGCUUUUCCUCACCGAAAAGUGGCGGGUUACUUGAAAUGCAGGUGCAGCUGGACUUUUCUCUGAGCUAUAAGCAUAUCUAUUUAGUCUGCCUAAAAAACAGAUUAUUACCUUUGCUGCAGCUAACAUAAAGGAGAUUAGUUCUUGUGCUGACUGAUGCAGGAUUCACAAAGACAGGCUUCGGCCGACUUUGUAAACUCGAUCUCAAAUCAAGUAAGACUACCCGCUGAACUUAAGCAUAUCAAUAAGCGGAGGA
RNAcentral lists this unclassified non-coding RNA (433 nucleotides) under soil metagenome. RNAcentral describes it as "partial contains 5.8S ribosomal RNA, internal transcribed spacer 2, and large subunit ribosomal RNA". The stretch from base 1 to 120 matches the Rfam family "5.8S ribosomal RNA", at positions 35 to 154 of the family's 154-position model. The record is from RNAcentral.